This 506-nucleotide ribosomal RNA is filed under the name uncultured bacterium. Its description in RNAcentral is "partial 16S ribosomal RNA". It matches the Rfam family "Bacterial small subunit ribosomal RNA", at positions 29 to 523 of the family's 1533-position model. The record is from RNAcentral.
AGUGAACGCUGGCGGUAGGCCUAACACAUGCAAGUCGAACGGCAGCACAGGAGAGCUUGCUCUCUGGGUGGCGAGUGGCGGACGGGUGAGGAAUACAUCGGAAUCUACUUUUUCGUGGGGGAUAACGUAGGGAAACUUACGCUAAUACCGCAUACGACCUACGGGUGAAAGCAGGGGAUCUUCGGACCUUGCGCGAUUGAAUGAGCCGAUGUCGGAUUAGCUAGUUGGCGGGGUAACGGCCCCCCAAGGCGACGAUCCGUAGCUGGUCUGAGAGGAUGAUCAGCCACACUGGAACUGAGACACGGUCCAGACUCCUACGGGAGUCAGCAGUGGGGAAUAUUGGACAAUGGGCGCAAGCCUGAUCCAGCCAUACCGCGUGUGUGAAGAAGGCCUUCGGGUUGUAAAGCCCUUUUGUUGGGAAAGAAAUCCAGCUGGUUAAUACCCGGUUGGGAUGACGGUACCCAAAGAAUAAGCACCGGCUAACUUCGUGCCAGCCGCCGCCGUAA